RNAcentral lists this Y RNA (109 nucleotides) under Propithecus coquereli (Coquerel's sifaka). RNAcentral describes it as "Y RNA (ENSPCOG00000005388.1)". It matches the Rfam family "Y RNA". From Rfam's summary of the family: Y RNAs are components of the Ro ribonucleoprotein particle (Ro RNP), in association with Ro60 and La proteins. The record is from Rfam by way of RNAcentral. Lineage: Eukaryota; Metazoa; Chordata; Mammalia; Primates; Indriidae.
GGCUGGUCCGAAGGUAGUGAGUUAUCUCACUUGAUUGUUCAGUCAGUUACAGAUUGAACUCCUUGGUCUACUACUGUCCCUGCUUAUUACUGUACUUGACUAGUCUUAC